Molecule: ribosomal RNA, 582 nt
Filed under: uncultured bacterium
Lineage: Bacteria
Description: partial 16S ribosomal RNA
Rfam family: Bacterial small subunit ribosomal RNA
Source: RNAcentral
UGGGGAAUUUUGGACAAUGGGCGAAAGCCUGAUCCAGCCAUGCCGCGUGCAGGAUGAAGGCCUUCGGGUUGUAAACUGCUUUUGUACGGAACGAAAAGACUCUGGUUAAUACCUGGGGUCCAUGACGGUACCGUAAGAAUAAGCACCGGCUAACUACGUGCCAGCAGCCGCGGUAAUACGUAGGGUGCAAGCGUUAAUCGGAAUUACUGGGCGUAAAGCGUGCGCAGGCGGUUAUAUAAGACAGAUGUGAAAUCCCCGGGGCUCAACCUGGGAACUGCAUUUGUGACUGUAUAGCUAGAGUACGGCAGAGGGGGGAUGGAAUUCCGCGUGUAGCAGUGAAAUGCGUAGAUAUGCGGAGGAACACCGAUGGCGAAGGCAAUCCCCUGGGCCUGUACUGACGCUCAUGCACGAAAGCGUGGGGAGCAAACAGGAUUAGAUACCCUGGUAGUCCACGCCCUAAACGAUGUCAACUGGUUGUUGGGGUCUUCACUGACUCAGUAACGAAGCUAACGCGUGAAGUUGACCGCCUGGGGAGUNCGGCCGCAAGGUUGAAACUCAAAUGAAUUGACGGGGGUCAUAGCU